UGAACGCUGGCGGUAUGCUUUACACAUGCAAGUCGUACGGGAGUUUUUAACUCAAGUGGCGGACGGGUGAGUAACACGUGAGAAUUUGCCUUUAGGAGGGGGAUAACAGAGAGAAAUCGCUGCUAAUACCCCAUAUGCUUUCGAGUGAAAUGGAUUUUUCCGCCUAGAGAGAAGCUUGCGGCUGAUUAGCUUGUUGGUGAGGUAAUGGCUCACCAAGGCGACGAUCAGUAUCUGGUUUGAGAGGAUGAUCAGACACACUGGAACUGAGACACGGUCCAGACUCCUACGGGAGGCAGCAGUGGGGAAUUUUCCGCAAUGGGCGAAAGCCUGACGGAGCAAUACCGCGUGAGGGAUGACGGCCUAUGGGUUGUAAACCUCUUUUUUCAGGGAGGAAUCAAUGACGUGUACCUGAAGAAUAAGCAUCGGCUAACUCC
RNAcentral lists this ribosomal RNA (434 nucleotides) under uncultured bacterium. Its description in RNAcentral is "bacterial SSU rRNA". It matches the Rfam family "Bacterial small subunit ribosomal RNA", at positions 30 to 504 of the family's 1533-position model. The record is from RNAcentral.